CCAGUUGUCGCCUAGUGGAUAAGGAGACUGACCGGUGAUCAGAAGGUUGCUGGUUGGAUCCCCAGCUCCACUGGG
This is a non-coding RNA of Danionella cerebrum, 75 nucleotides long. The record is from the annotation of a GenBank genome assembly. Lineage: Eukaryota; Metazoa; Chordata; Actinopteri; Cypriniformes; Danionidae.